This is a long non-coding RNA of Sphaeramia orbicularis (orbiculate cardinalfish), 220 nucleotides long. RefSeq lists it as uncharacterized. NCBI's taxonomy places the organism in Eukaryota, Metazoa, Chordata, Actinopteri, Kurtiformes, Apogonidae. The transcript is spliced from 3 exons. The record is from RefSeq and is a predicted model, not a curated record.
AAACAAUAGAAACACACAAUUUCUACGUAAAAAUCUGGUUUUAACAUACUCUUUCUGUAAAAAACUACAACUGUAUUUGACUUAAUCAUUAACACAAGAAUCUUUUCAAAUCAACAACUUUGCAUUGUAUUGUCACUUACAGUUUUUUUAUGUUGCAAUUUUACAACUUUUUGGUGUUAAUUCUACGGUCAUUUUUUACAGUGUAAUGACAGCAUUUUAA